UUGCAGGUUCUUUCGGACGGAGAACACAUGAUGAGCAUUACGCGCCGAACGUAUCCGAGAGGCAGGAUAUCCUCGGAUGGAAGCAACAUAAAAGCAUAUAGCUCUGAUGGAACUGAUGAGGUGUGAUGUUUCAAGAUGUUAUCUCGCAGCAGCGCGGCCUACGUAAAGAAAUACAAGUCCUUUUUUAGCCACGGGGGAACCGAAAUGAGGUCGGCGGUCGAGAGUGUGUUAUCUUCUCAUCUUCAUACCUUCUGUCAUCUCUUCUGCUUCCAGCUGUAACCCUUUUAUUUUCACUGCUCAGGACUUAAAGACUCACAAGAUCAAUACUUGGGUUUGAAUUUCGAAAAAAAAAAGAAAAAGAGAGAAAAUACUAGGAUGACUUUCUUGCGCGUAAUGCCAGCUUUUCAAAAUUCUCACUUUUUCCAUCAUAUUCUGUCUUUUCUAGGAAUCACCCCAUGCAGGAUUUUCCUCCUAUUUUUCAUUUUAAUUACAACAGAUAAACAUUUUGAGAGCCGUUUCCUCCCCUCAGCCUUCGACUUGUUCCACUGAAUGCCGUCAUCCAGAACUCUGGGUCGCACCGUGUUUGUGUUACAUUUCAUUUCCCAUAAACAAAAGCUCAUGAGCAGUGUUUCAGUGAUUCAAACACAGAAUUUACAACAAAAACAGGUCAACUCUGCAUUUCCUGAAAGUUCCCUGCCAGCGGCUGCACUGAGGUUAAGGAGUCAUCAGCGCCGAGUCUGUAAACAGAACUAGAACACGACUCCAGGGAUGAUUUUGUUCUCCGUCCGCCCAACAAUCAAUUGUUUCAGAAAUUACCUCAAAAAUGUAUGUGUUCAAGUGACGGAGUCGUAGGAAUAAUGAUUAUGAUGCUGCUCUUUGUUAGCCAGCUUUGGAUGUAGCAGGCCACCAUUAGCUACAGGAAUUAGCGACAUGUCACAACAUGCGAUGGAGCUCAGCUAAACUGGGUUCAGCCGCCCGAGAGUGAAUGUGGCUGGACGCUGAACGCAUCCUCCAGGACCACCAGAGGUCAGUCUGAGGACAGGCGAAACAUACGGAGGUUGGAAAUGUUGUGCAGAGCCGAAACACUUUCACAUCUUACUGUGAAUUUAUUGUGACUAAACCAGAGAUGAUUGCCAAAAGACAAACCAAGACUGUUUUGGAUCUAACCUUCCCACUUGGCAUUAUAAAUUGCACAAGUGUGUCAACACAGCACAUAACAACAGACCAACAACAGGGCUGGCAGAUGUUGGCAGUCCGGCGUCAUAAAGGACACUUUCUCUUCAUCCUGCACCGCUGUGUCUCGCUGUUGGACGGGCAAAGUGACGCUGCUUUCUCCUCAGGUGUUCUGCCGGACUGCCCGCCCCCCCGGGUCCUGGUCUGCUUGCCCCACCUGAAGCCGCAGUUGGCG
Long non-coding RNA from Acanthopagrus latus (yellowfin seabream), 1408 nucleotides. RefSeq lists it as uncharacterized. The transcript has 3 exons. The record is from RefSeq and is a predicted model, not a curated record. NCBI's taxonomy places the organism in Eukaryota, Metazoa, Chordata, Actinopteri, Spariformes, Sparidae.